This 1130-nucleotide ribosomal RNA is filed under the name Acinetobacter sp. RNAcentral describes it as "bacterial SSU rRNA". It matches the Rfam family "Bacterial small subunit ribosomal RNA", at positions 41 to 1176 of the family's 1533-position model. Lineage: Bacteria; Pseudomonadati; Pseudomonadota; Gammaproteobacteria; Moraxellales; Moraxellaceae. The record is from RNAcentral.
GGCGCAGCUUACACAUGCAGUCGAGCGGGGUGAUGGUGCUUGCCUAUCACCUAGCGGCGGACGGGUGAGUAAUGCUUAGGAAUCUGCCUAUUAUUGGGGGACAACAUUUCGAAAGGAAUGCUAAUACCGCAUACGUCCUACGGGAGAAAGCAGGGGAUCUUCGGACCUUGCGCUAAUAGAUGAGCCUAAGUCGGAUUAACUAGUUGGUGGGGUAAAGGCCUACCAAGGCGACGAUCUGUAGCGGGUCUGAGAGGAUGAUCCGCCACACUGGGACUGAGACACGGCCCAGACUCCUACGGGAGGCAGCAGUGGGGAAUAUUGGACAAUGGGCGCAAGCCUGAUCCAGCCAUGCCGCGUGUGUGAAGAAGGCCUUAUGGUUGUAAAGCACUUUAAGCGAGGAGGAGGCUACUUUAGAUAAUACCUAGAGAUAGUGGACGUUACUCGCAGAAUAAGCACCGGCUAACUCUGUGCCAGCAGCCGCGGUAAUACAGAGGGUGCAAGCGUUAAUCGGAUUUACUGGGCGUAAAGCGCGCGUAGGCGGCUAAUUAAGUCAAAUGUGAAAUCCCCGAGCUUAACUUGGGAAUUGCAUUCGAUACUGGUUAGCUAGAGUGUGGGAGAGGAUGGUAGAAUUCCAGGUGUAGCGGUGAAAUGCGUAGAGAUCUGGAGGAAUACCGAUGGCGAAGGCAGCCAUCUGGCCUAACACUGACGCUGAGGUGCGAAAGCAUGGGGAGCAAACAGGAUUAGAUACCCUGGUAGUCCAUGCCGUAAACGAUGUCUACUAGCCGUUGGGGCCUUUGAGGCUUUAGUGGCGCAGCUAACGCGAUAAGUAGACCGCCUGGGGAGUACGGUCGCAAGACUAAAACUCACAUGAAUUGACGGGGGCCCGCACAACCGGUGGAGCAUGUGGUUUAAUUCGAUGCAACGCGAAGAACCUUACCUGGCCUUGACAUAGAAGGAACUUUCCAGAGAUGGAUGGGGGCGUUCGGGACUUACCUACGGUGCUGCAUGGCUAUCGGCAGCUCGCGCGGGAAAUGUGGCGUAGGUCCCCCACCAACGCAGCCGUUUCCUUAUUGCCAGCCAGGAAGGGCGGGAACUUUUGGUUUUUGCCGUUACCACCUGAAGGAAGGCGG